RNAcentral lists this ribosomal RNA (996 nucleotides) under uncultured bacterium. RNAcentral's name for it is "bacterial SSU rRNA". It matches the Rfam family "Bacterial small subunit ribosomal RNA", at positions 355 to 1375 of the family's 1533-position model. The record is from RNAcentral.
UGGGGAAUAUUGCACAAUGGGGGAAACCCUGAUGCAGCGACGCCGCGUGGAGGAAGAAGGUCUUCGGAUUGUAAACUCCUGUUGUUGAGGAAGAUAAUGACGGUACUCAACAAGGAAGUGACGGCUAACUACGUGCCAGCAGCCGCGGUAAAACGUAGGUCACAAGCGUUGUCCGGAAUUACUGGGUGUAAAGGGAGCGCAGGCGGGAAGACAAGUUGGAAGUGAAAUCCAUGGGCUCAACCCAUGAACUGCUUUCAAAACUGUUUUUCUUGAGUAGUGCAGAGGUAGGCGGAAUUCCCGGUGUAGCGGUGGAAUGCGUAGAUAUCGGGAGGAACACCAGUGGCGAAGGCGGCCUACUGGGCACCAACUGACGCUGAGGCUCGAAAGUGUGGGUAGCAAACAGGAUUAGAUACCCUGGUAGUCCACACCGUAAACGAUGAUUACUAGGUGUUGGAGGAUUGACCCCUUCAGUGCCGCAGUUAACACAAUAAGUAAUCCACCUGGGGAGUACGACCGCAAGGUUGAAACUCAAAGGAAUUGACGGGGGCCCGCACAAGCAGUGGAGUAUGUGGUUUAAUUCGAAGCAACGCGAAGAACCUUACCAGGUCUUGACAUCCGAUGCAUAGUGCAGAGAUGCAUGAAGUCCUUCGGGACAUCGAGACAGGUGGUGCAUGGUUGUCGUCAGCUCGUGUCGUGAGAUGUUGGGUUAAGUCCCGCAACGAGCGCAACCCUUAUUGCCAGUUACUACGCAAGAGGACUCUGGCGAGACUGCCGUUGACAAAACGGAGGAAGGUGGGGAUGACGUCAAAUCAUCAUGCCCUUUAUGACUUGGGCUACACACGUACUACAAUGGCGUUAAACAAAGAGAAGCAAGACCGCGAGGUGGAGCAAAACUCAGAAACAACGUCCCAGUUCGGACUGCAGGCUGCAACUCGCCUGCACGAAGUCGGAAUUGCUAGUAAUCGUGGAUCAGCAUGCCACGGUGAAUACGUUCCC